CUGUUGCUCGCGAUUGAUGAAAAAAAAUUCUGAGAACCAGCCCACCGCUCCCCCGUUUCCGCUCAAUCCACUCAAACAAACAAAACCAACGAAAAACAGCAGAAAAAACCACUCCCCCACGAACUCAUCACGUCCCACGUCCCCAUCCCCCCUUGCCCUCGCCCUCGAUCCUCACUCUUCCCUCCCCUGAAACAAAUCGCCACCACCAAGCCCCCACACGCCACCUCACCGGCCUAGAUCUCGAUAUGCCGCCGCCACUCCCCUCCUCGUCAGCCUCAUGGUCGCGGUGGUCGCAGUCCUGUCCGUGGACGCCGCCGCUCCCCUCCUCGUCAGCCUUGUGGUUGCGGUGGCCGUAGCCGCCCGCUCUGCACGAUGCCCCUCCCUUGCCCAUCGCCAUUCUCGUCGCGUCACCCUUGUGUUGGUCGCCGUCGCGCCGCCUCUGUACACAGACACCCCACUAUUCAGUUCCAUGGGCCCUAAUUGUUUGUUCAAUUUCAGGUAAAGAUUGUGGGGCAUGAGAGCCACCAUAGCUUGUGUCCGUCGAGGUCGUUGACUCCUCCAUCUGUCAAUUGCAUGUAGAUGGGCUUCUAUUGUGAUGACGACUGUGCUGUUGCGAACAUCGAUCAUCCUCGUCCCGUGACUGUUGAACCAGUUGAAGUCCACAAUGAAUUAUAACGUAUUGAGCUUAAUUAUAUGACUAUUUUUACUGUUUCUACUUACAUGCUUUUAUUAUAUCACAAUUCUGCUCUUUAGGUAUGCACUUAAUUUAUGCGAGAGCCCCAAACUUUUAUUAAACAACAUACCAAUCUUGAACCUUGAGAAUUCAGACUGGUGAAGUACCUGCCAUUUUUAGGCAAUUGGUAGUGGAGACUGCCUUCCGUAUUUGACUCGUCACACAUAUGUCAUAAACUUAGAACACACUUUUGGCUGGAUAUGUGAUAAUGUAGUUCGGUCACCGUUGGUGAAGUGGAUAAACUUAGAACAUAGUGUCAUUUUUAGGCAGUUGGUAGUGAAACAACUAUAAUGACUUGGUCCAGAGGUCGAGCGGAUAGUUGACACCAUGCAGUUCAAUGAUGUAUCGAUCCCUCGGACCUGCCUUUUGAAGCUACUCGAAGCAAGACAAGAAGCAUGGCAUGCUCAAGUUCAAGUCGUUGCGAUGGCUCGUCGGCCCUGAUAGAUGCCGCGCUGAAGUGAUGCAAUGUGCGCUCAAGUGGUCGAAGCAGAAGAAGAAAGGUUGGCUGCAAUGUAGUCUUGCUGGUUGUAGUAUUACUAUAUACUAAGCUGAGCAAAGCAGAGGAAGCAAAGGAAGAGAAGGAUGAGUAACAAGUUGUCAACUACAUAAUCUUAGUGUCAAGUGACAAGUGUAUAGGAGUAUUCGCUGGCAUGUUUUUAGUGGUCGCGGUGAGAUUCUUAGUUUGACCAUUGUAUUUCGCUGGCAUGUUUUUAGUGGUCGCGGUGAGAUUCUUAAUUUGACCAUUAAUUAGUGUGAAUUAUGAUCACAACUGAUCAAUUGAUGCAAGGGAUUUGUUUUAUGUAAAAGCAUUGGACCUGAUGUAUGCAAGCAUCUGCCACUAGAUUUCUUUCUGUAUUUUCAUCUGUUGUAUGUUCCCUCCUAAUAACAUUUUUUCAUGAAUAAUAAUAGGCACAAGAUCCCACUAAGAAGAUUACUUCUGUAGUUCUGUGCUCGAACAAUUCCAAAUGACUGCUAUUUUUUAGAGAAGAACAGGUAUGUGUGCCCCAUCUAGAAAAGCUUACUUCAGGUUUAUCUGUACGCCGUCUGAUCCGACGCUCGUCACCAUUGCCCUGCCAUGUCAAGGGUGAACUAGAAUAUAUCAUCAGUUCGUACCCAUUAGCAAUGAAAACUGGUGUGUUUUUUGUACCUCCCAAUGGUUACUUUGGAAGUUGAUUCUCCAAUUUAAAAACCCGUCUUGACUUUUUCUGGCCUCUUCUCCAUAUUGAUAUGAAGUUAUUGUGCUUUUCACGGAUUUAGACUAUGUGGCUAUAUAUCCAUGGACAGUUUUCGGUUAUUACCAAUAGGAAGCAGAUAAAUGAACAUGUGUGUUUGCAAAACUUGGCGAGCUUCUAGCUCCCAAUAUGUGUUUGUGCUUGAUCAAUUGUUUGCCUCAUGGUAUUUAGUUAUAAAUUUUCCUUGAUUAUUAGCAUUUGUGUAUUAAUGCUUGCAGGAGGGGAGGAGUCGGACUAGGUUGUCGUCCAAGUCGCUUCUCACCUUUGACGCUGUUGCGUCUAGACCAUUGCUCAUCUCCCACAUCUGUAUGCCUGGCUAAGCACUUUAAUUUUUGUUAUACAGUGCAUAUGCAUUUGCUAUAAUUUUUGUUCAGGUAUAUCUAUUUUAGUGUGCUCAACGUCAAUUGAUUCUUUGUACCAGCAAGAUUAAAGCAAUGCAAUGAAAGGAGCUUCUAACAUGCUUUCUUUCAUUUAUUUGGUCUAAUCAAAAUGAUACUUUAUUGAAAGUUUGAAACACAUGUGCAGAAGUAAUAGAUGUCAAUCGAUGCUAAAUUUUCAUAUAAACACACAAGUAGCUCUUGGCACAUGACAUGUUUUUCUGAUAUUGUUCUAUUUCAAUGCAACAAGUCUGCAUUUCUGUUACUUAUUCUUACUGAACAGACAAGGCUCUGAUGCAAGACUUCUCCUUCUAUCAUUGGAUUAAGAAGAUAAACUCUUAUACUAACUAUUUCUUUUUUUUUCUUUUCUGAAUUGAAGAUUCACUCCUAAUGUGUUGAGAGCUACUGAUGUGUUUUAUUUUUUUAUUGUUCAUGAAUGGCAUGAUCAAGGAGGCAGAGAGGAAAUGUUUUAUGAAUCAAGAAAAACAUACUGAAACUUGGUAACGUUGCUGAGAAGUUAAAUAGAAGUAUGAUAUUUCCAUGAAAGCUUCAUCUUCUUAUUCUCUACUUGUGUUGUUGGAAAUGGCAAUCAGUUGAUCUUUGAAUUAUGCAGCCUAUCUAAAAAUCUUAACUGUGGUCUAGCUUUUGAGGUUCUGAUACAAUGUAAUAAACAUUACCAUUCGGACAAAGUAAAAGGUACUUCUUUAUUGAAAUGUUUUUUUAAUCCUAUUUGUAGCAUUUGUCCAUGAUUCUCUUCCUUACAUUUGGUGUUAAGUUGUGUUUCAAAGUAGGCGCUACAUCUUGUUGCUCUGGGACAAAGUAGGCAAUGGUGGCCAAAGCAACAUCUUCCCCACCUAGGUGCUCCGAAUCUGGUGUCUCGGCAUCGAAAGAUUGGACCAGGAGGAUUGGAGUUUGAAUGGGAUGCAUUUGGUGUGACAGGAAGAGAUGUCUCGCAUCCAUCAUGUUGAUGGCUUGGGGGUGUGGCAGCUCGGGAUACUUACAAGCUAGAUGUAGUUGCCCCCAUCUCUUAUACUUGUUUGUUUCGCUUAGGGCAUGUUAUAGUUUAGUUAUAACAUGGAUUUCAUUUAUCAUGUAAAGUGUACCAUCAAAUUAUGGAUCUUAAUGUUUGCUUCUUUUCAGCACUUA
Molecule: long non-coding RNA, 3488 nt
Organism: Triticum urartu
Lineage: Eukaryota; Viridiplantae; Streptophyta; Magnoliopsida; Poales; Poaceae
Source: RefSeq, a predicted model, not a curated record